CAUUAAUAGGUCUGUUCAUAAUUCAAUCUGUGUGUGUGUAGAAGCAUCCAUGUGGAAACAUGCAGGCCUGAGAGACAUAAAGCCUUUCCCUUUAAACAUUAUCUGACCCUAUGAGUCUUAUUCACAAAAGAAGGCUUACGUACGCAUAAGUUGAAAAAAAUGCAUGCUUUCAUUGUGCCAGAGAGAGCCUACACAUUUUACUCCUCAUUCUCCAGGAAAACUCAUCAUGGAAGUGACACUUGUACAGGAGCUGGGCGAGGGAAUGGUGAAAGAGCACAACGUAGCAAAGAAAUAACCCAGCACACGCAAAGAAUACACUUCUUUUCUCAUUAAAAAUAUGGAAGGGUCAUCUCUUCUGCUGGCAUGUGACAGGGUGAGGGCACGGAUGUGAGAGGAGCCACUGUUUCCCUGUGUGUUGCAGCCUUGCAAAACUCCACCUGAGGAGAGCAGCCUGUUUUUUUGAUGCCUGUGUCACUUGCACCUGGACCGGGUACAACACAGUGAAUAUAAAUAUUUAUAAUGCCAUGUCUACAAUUUCACAGAUUCCAAGGAUGAUGAUUGUACACUGCCUUCCAGAGAAUCCUGCAAGGUAUUCAAAGCCUACGGAUGCUGCUGUAAAUCGGCAGCAAACAGGAGUACCAGGACACCUGCCAGUCAGGAUCAGCAUGAGAGGAUCAGUUAUUGACUCCAAUGAAACCAGGAUUUUCAUCUACUGUCCCAAAGUUUAAAAACCAUUCAGAGAGUUCUUCUAAGUGUGGUAAAUGAAACCUCCAGAAAGGCAGAGGGGCUCUGUAUGUGCUCAGCUUGAUUGACACCAGUACACCCACUGGCCUUCAGCAAUUACAGCUCAAAAGGAAACCAGCACAACUGGGAGCAGAUGGGUAAGCUUUUAAGUAAAUAUAAAAGUUAAAGAUGAUUCCUGUUAGCACUGGAAAGCUUUCUUCCUGGCAUGAGCUAAGGGCUGACAAAAUUAUCUGUGU
This 980-nucleotide long non-coding RNA is filed under the name Cyanistes caeruleus (blue tit). RNAcentral describes it as "lncRNA (ENSCCEG00000015759.1)". The record is from RNAcentral. Lineage: Eukaryota; Metazoa; Chordata; Aves; Passeriformes; Paridae.